This 270-nucleotide long non-coding RNA is filed under the name Penaeus japonicus. RNAcentral describes it as "uncharacterized LOC122245142". The record is from RNAcentral. Lineage: Eukaryota; Metazoa; Arthropoda; Malacostraca; Decapoda; Penaeidae.
GGUGGAUGGAGGGCAAGUAGUGUCGUUAGUUUCGUGCUUGAAGGGGCUAGGCAAGACAUGCUGAUCACCAAGAAAAUGCUGCUAACGCUGUUGCGUCUGACGUGGCCGUGUCUAUCGACAGCGCUCCCCAAUCUGCCCUUCCAAUCUGCAAUCGCCUUUGGCCCGAAUGAAGCGGCGCCUCAGUCGGAUCCUUUCCUGCUGGGUCUGCCUGCCAGUGUCGCCUUCCUCGGGGACCAAUGAAGCGGCGCCCCUGCACGCCUGAGCCGCUCC